Molecule: transfer RNA, 64 nt
Filed under: Atkinsoniella flavipenna
Lineage: Eukaryota; Metazoa; Arthropoda; Insecta; Hemiptera; Cicadellidae
Description: tRNA-Phe
Source: RNAcentral
AUUUUAAUAGCUUAUAUCAGAGCAUAAUAUUGAAGAUAUUAAUGAGAAUAAUUUUCUUAAAAUA